GGAUCUUUCUCGCGAUGCAUCUAGAUUAUGCGUAGCCGACCUGAGAGGGUGAUCGGCCACACUGGGACUGAGACACGGCCCAGACUCCUACGGGAGGCAGCAGUAGGGAAUCUUCCGCAAUGGACGAAAGUCUGACGGAGCAACGCCGCGUGAGUGAUGAAGGUUUUCGGAUCGUAAAGCUCUGUUGUUAGGGAAGAACAAGUGCCGUUCAAAUAGGGCGGCACCUUGACGGUACCUAACCAGAAAGCCACGGCUAACUACGUGCCAGCAGCCGCGGUAAUACGUAGGUGGCAAGCGUUGUCCGGAAUUAUUGGGCGUAAAGGGCUCGCAGGCGGUUUCUUAAGUCUGAUGUGAAAGCCCCCGGCUCAACCGGGGAGGGUCAUUGGAAACUGGGGAACUUGAGUGCAGAAGAGGAGAGUGGAAUUCCACGUGUAGCGGUGAAAUGCGUAGAGAUGUGGAGGAACACCAGUGGCGAAGGCGACUCUCUGGUCUGUAACUGACGCUGAGGAGCGAAAGCGUGGGGAGCGAACAGGAUUAGAUACCCUGGUAGUCCACGCCGUAAACGAUGAGUGCUAAGUGUUAGGGGGUUUCCGCCCCUUAGUGCUGCAGCUAACGCAUUAAGCACUCCGCCUGGGGAGUACGGUCGCAAGACUGAAACUCAAAGGAAUUGACGGGGGCCCGCACAAGCGGUGGAGCAUGUGGUUUAAUUCGAAGCAACGCGAAGAACCUUACCAGGUCUUGACAUCCUCUGACAAUCCUAGAGAUAGGACGUCCCCUUCGGGGGCAGAGUGACAGGUGGUGCAUGGUUGUCGUCAGCUCGUGUCGUGAGAUGUUGGGUUAAGUCCCGCAACGAGCGCAACCCUUGAUCUUAGUUGCCAGCAUUCAGUUGGGCACUCUAAAGUGACUGCCGGUGACAAACCGGGAGGAAGGUGGGGGAUGACGUCAAAUCAUCAUGCCCCUUAUGACCUGGCUACACACGUGCUACAAUGGACAGAACAAAGGCAGCGAAACCGCGAGGUUAAGCCAAUCCCACAAAUCUGUCUCAGUUCGGAUCGCAGUCUGCACUCGACUGCGUGAGCUGAUCGCUAGUAUCGCGAUCAGCAUGCGCGGUGAUACGUCCCGGUCUGUACACACGGUCGUCACACCACGAAGUUGAUCGGAUUCGAUCGUCGACUGCUAAGCUGCAUGCAAGCUCUAUACGGAGGCGAUUAGCUUGCUACUAGGCCUACCGUUCCGUCGUGAAUGUUUAUAUCGG
Molecule: ribosomal RNA, 1255 nt
Filed under: Bacillus vallismortis
Lineage: Bacteria; Bacillati; Bacillota; Bacilli; Caryophanales; Bacillaceae
Description: bacterial SSU rRNA
Rfam family: Bacterial small subunit ribosomal RNA
Source: RNAcentral